AGGCUCUGUAGCCCGAUUUCACUGCCAAGACGGAUUCAAGCUGAAGGGCGCUACAAAGAGACUGUGUUUGAAGCAUUUUAAUGGAACCCUAGGCUGGAUCCCAAGUGAUAAUUCCAUCUGUGUGCAAGAAGAUUGCCGUAUCCCUCAAAUCGAAGAUGCUGAGAUUCAUAACAAGACAUAUAGACAUGGAGAGAAGCUAAUCAUCACUUGUCAUGAAGGAUUCAAGAUCCGGUACCCCGACCUACACAAUAUGGUUUCAUUAUGUCGCGAUGAUGGAACGUGGAAUAAUCUGCCCAUCUGUCAAGGCUGCCUGAGACCUCUAGCCUCUUCUAAUGGCUAUGUAAACAUCUCUGAGUUCCAGACCUCCUUCCCGGUGGGGACUGUGAUCUCCUAUCGCUGCUUUCCCGGAUUUAAACUUGAUGGGUCUGCGUAUCUUGAGUGCUUACAAAACCUUAUCUGGUCGUCCAGCCCACCCCGGUGCCUUGCUCUGGAAGGUAACACAUCUCAUUCUUUCGGAAGUUGUAUUUUGUAUUAUUAAAGGGAGGAAGAAGAUCAAUAGGAGGAAGAGCUGUGAAUUAUGAUGGGCAAUAACUUUUCUUCUCUGAAUACAUCUUUCUCACUUUUCUCCAGAGCAGAGAUCAGCUGCCGUGAAGCCAUAUUUACAAUUAGAUGUAAAACUUGCUUCCCUCAUCCUUAGGCUUAAAGAGGAGAGCAGAU
RNAcentral lists this small RNA (717 nucleotides) under Pan troglodytes (chimpanzee). RNAcentral's name for it is "processed transcript". The record is from RNAcentral. Lineage: Eukaryota; Metazoa; Chordata; Mammalia; Primates; Hominidae.